RNAcentral lists this signal recognition particle RNA (299 nucleotides) under Cebus imitator (Panamanian white-faced capuchin). Its description in RNAcentral is "Metazoan signal recognition particle RNA (ENSCCAG00000012174.1)". It matches the Rfam family "Metazoan signal recognition particle RNA". Rfam says of the family: The signal recognition particle (SRP) is a universally conserved ribonucleoprotein. It is involved in the co-translational targeting of proteins to membranes. Lineage: Eukaryota; Metazoa; Chordata; Mammalia; Primates; Cebidae. The record is from RNAcentral.
ACCGGGCGUGGUAGCAUGUGCCUGUAGUCCCAGCUACUCUGGAGGCUGAGGUGGGAGGACCGCUUGAGCCCAGGAGUUCUGGGCUGUAGUGCGCUAUGCUGGUUGGGUGUCCAUGCUAAGUUUGGCAUCAAUAUGGUGACCUCCCGGGAGCGGGGAACCACCAGGUUGCCUAAGGAGGGAUGAGCCAGCCCAGAUUGGAAACGGAGCAGGUCAAAACUCCCAUGCUGAUCAGUAGUGGGAUUGUGCCUGUCAAUAGCCACUGCACUCCAGCCUGGGCAACAUAGCAAGACACCAUCUCU